UACGGAGGAUGCAAGCGUUAUCCGGAUUCAUUGGGUUUAAAGGGUGCGUAGGCGGACUAUUAAGUCAGUGGUGAAAGCCUGCAGCUUAACUGCAGAACUGCCAUUGAUACUGAUAGUCUUGAGUUUGGUUAAGGUAGGCGGAAUGUGUAAUGUAGCGGUGAAAUGCUUAGAUAUUACACAGAACACCAAUUGCGUAGGCAGCUUACUGAGCCGACACUGACGCUGAGGCACGAAAGCGUGGGGAUCAAACAGGA
Molecule: ribosomal RNA, 254 nt
Filed under: uncultured prokaryote
Description: partial 16S ribosomal RNA
Rfam family: Bacterial small subunit ribosomal RNA
Source: RNAcentral